UGUCAUUGGUUGCCAUGGGAACACCUGUUCUCACACCACAUUCACCACCAGUCUAAUGUCUAAUUUUAUCAUCAGACACCCUGCCUCUUUUCAUCAUAGAGUUGAUAAUGAGCCUUUAAUGUUUGGUCUUGAGAGAAAUAUAUUUUUCCCCUCUUUUUAGCCCGUAAAAAUGAGCCGUGUUUUUAUUAUCGUCAACUUCUGAAUGACUUUAUAAAGUUUCAAAGAGUUAACCUUGAUGUGUCUCCCAAGGCUUCUAAAGAUGGUUAAUACAGGGGCUUGCCAAGAACCAUGCCUUUAUCUUACAAAUGGAUGUCCUCAACUCUUGGUCCUUUCCACAUUACGUGUACCACUGUUCAGUCAAGAAUUCUUCCGAACUAAAAACAAUUCCACGAAGUCAAUUUCCAUCUGAUCUAUUCACUAUAGUCAGAUGCAAGCCCCUGCCUUCGAUUUUACAUUCCUCUGAAGCCAAAGGAUACGAAAACAUGUCAAAAACACCCUUGUUUCUGAACCACCAGCUGUUUGUAAUACGGUCUUAUUCAGCGAUUGGCUGCUCGUGGAGGGCACCGGUUUCGGGGCUGCCCCGUGGCCUCUUUAAAGCACACCGAGGCAUCUCCAAGCCGGCUUUGUCAAAAGCCAAGGACAUUUUUUCGGCAGAGACUCCGAGCUAGCUGCCACAUAAACAAACAGGAGCUCACUUUGGCUUCCUGGGUUUUUUUGGACUGACAGAAAGUGCUAAGGGGAAGACAGAAGCCAACAGGGCAGCCUGGGGCGACUGGAAGCUCGGGAGGAGGAGGCAGUGGAUUGCUGGCACCGGCUCCCUGCUCAGGGCGAGGCUGUGAAAGUGUGAGCCGUGAACCAACGUCUGGAAAAGCUCUCCGCUGGACAUUUUGCCCUUGGCCCCAAAGGCUGGAUGAUGUCGGGCUGAAGAGAAUCUGCCUUGGAUUCCUCGCCUCUAUUCACGGUGCCAUGCCCGUCAAUCAACCCCGGCCCACCAGCCUGAGGGGAUCUUGUUGACAGACAGUUACUGUGUCAACAGACUCAUUUUGUGAAAUGGAAAUUGGAAGAAGCCUAAAAUAACAGAGCAGAGGAUGGAAACCCAAGCUGCUUUUGCCACAUGCAGCCCAUGCCUGGAGUUACAGAGCACCAAGACUACACACAUGUAAACUGCCAACGGCUACAAUUCCUAUUAAGACAACCUUCAAGUGGCAGUGUUUAUGAACAGAUCUAGAGUCAGAAGCAAGAGAAAGCAAGUCAGCCUCAAGGACCAUGGGCAUUUCUGAGAAGUGAGACAGUUGCCACAUUACUAGAGACUCAUAUGUGGCAUCAUCGGUCGGUGUCUAGGAAAUGAGAUGAGGAAAGGUGCAUGAUGUGGGCAUUGUGACAUAGCACUGUUUGACUACACAAUGAUUGUGUAGAUAAUCACUUUGAAUCUCAAUCUGAUCACUAAUGUAGCUGCUAAGUGACUAAUGGGUGGGUAGAAUACAUAGUGUGGAAGCAAGGUGCCAAAGAAUGAUUUAUGUCCUGGGUGGAAUGGAAUGGGAUAGCUAGGGAUUUUGUGACACUGCUCUGAGUGAUAAUGUUAGGUGUCCUUUCCUGUCACUCUGCACCUUAGUCCCUUGAUACAGAGUCAGUCACUGAAGUUGGCGCUAGGCUGGUGACCAGCAAGCUUCAGGGACAUCCCGUCUCCCCAACCCAGGCCCGUGGUUACGGACGGAAGUAUAAUCAUGCUUGACUUUUCAAAUGAGUUCUGAGGAUUUGAACUCAAGUCCUCGUGCUUGUGAAAUAAGUGUUUUUACCCACUGAACCAUCUCCUUAACUCCUUCAAUAUUUCAUUUCAGGUUUCCAUAGUGCAUUUGAGCAAAAGAGACCUGAAAACAAAGCAACUAAAUAGAUAAAGGGGGUAGAGAACUAUUCUACAGCAGUAAACAAAACUACUACUACUACUACUACUGCUACUACUACUAC
Molecule: long non-coding RNA, 1965 nt
Organism: Peromyscus eremicus (cactus mouse)
Lineage: Eukaryota; Metazoa; Chordata; Mammalia; Rodentia; Cricetidae
Exons: 4
Source: RefSeq, a predicted model, not a curated record